ACGGAAGGCAGCAGUGGGGAAUAUUGGGCAAUGGGGGAAACCCUGACCCAGCAACGCCGCGUGAAGGAAGAAGGCCUUCGGGUUGUAAACUUCUUUUACCAGGGACGAUAAUGACGGUACCUGGAGAAAAAGCAACGGCUAACUACGUGCCAGCAGCCGCGGUAAUACGUAGGUUGCAAGCGUUGUCCGGAUUUACUGGGUGUAAAGGGCGUGUGGGCGGAGCUGCAAGUCAGAUGUGAAAUCCCGGGGCUCAACCCCGGAACUGCAUUUGAAACUGUAGCCCUUGAGUAUCGGAGAGGCAAGCGGAAUUCCUAGUGUAGCGGUGAAAUGCGUAGAUAUUAGGAAGAACACCAGUGGCGAAGGCGGUUAGCUGGACAAUAACUGACGCUGAGGCGCGAAAGCGUGGGUAGCAAACAGGAUUAGAUACCCUGGUA
This 434-nucleotide ribosomal RNA is filed under the name uncultured Oscillibacter sp. RNAcentral's name for it is "bacterial SSU rRNA". It matches the Rfam family "Bacterial small subunit ribosomal RNA", at positions 341 to 792 of the family's 1533-position model. Lineage: Bacteria; Bacillati; Bacillota; Clostridia; Eubacteriales; Oscillospiraceae. The record is from RNAcentral.